UGAAAUGUUUUGAUUAGAAAUAGUAAAAGCGAAAUGACUUUUCAGAGAGCCGUUGGCAGGUGCGAAACGGUAACGUCGUUCCCUUUGAACUCGUCUAUGAACAGCUGCCUGAACAUGUAGGGUUAGCCGGAGUUCCACCGUUACAGGGAUAGAUGGUGAUGGCCAUCGAAGAAGAUCAUUUUGCAUAAAAUGAAUUAGAGUGGUACCGCGGGUUCAACCCCGCCUCUAUA
Paenibacillus sp. Y412MC10 is the source of this 230-nucleotide non-coding RNA. The record is from Rfam. NCBI's taxonomy places the organism in Bacteria, Bacillati, Bacillota, Bacilli, Caryophanales, Paenibacillaceae.